CUCCUGCCCGGGCUGGGCUCCCAGGCAGCCUGGCAUGGUGCCAGGCUCGCCGCGCGGGCAGCAGGGUGGGGCAAGCGGCGGCAGCGGAGGACGUGGCCGGGCGCCCUGGGCUCAAGCAGCACCCCAGCCGGGAGGCCGGGGCCCAGAAGCCAGAAGAAAAAACUGACUGUAAUCAUAAUGAACACAUAAUGGUGAAUCCUGCCUGGCUUACACCCAUCUGUCCACCGGUGCAGCCGUGGAUGUUGUGAAUACAGUGGAGGCAGGGCCCGGAAUGUGUAA
Long non-coding RNA from Myotis myotis, 279 nucleotides. RefSeq lists it as uncharacterized. NCBI's taxonomy places the organism in Eukaryota, Metazoa, Chordata, Mammalia, Chiroptera, Vespertilionidae. The record is from RefSeq and is a predicted model, not a curated record. The transcript is spliced from 2 exons.